Molecule: long non-coding RNA, 219 nt
Filed under: Prunus persica (peach)
Lineage: Eukaryota; Viridiplantae; Streptophyta; Magnoliopsida; Rosales; Rosaceae
Description: long non-coding RNA (PPER_LNC006020)
Source: RNAcentral
AUUUCAAAAGAGUCAAAUUAGAAGAAUCGAAAUCUUGGCAUUGCAAGUUCAUUGGAAAGAUUGAAAAGGACAAUGACGGUGCCGAGAGAGAAAAGAGGUUCUCAACCUGCGUACAGUAAGUGGCCCUUUGCUUUUGAAAUGGAAUCGAUGAAAGUAAGAGAUUUAUAGAGUGUGGUCCAGGUUUAAGCUUCUUUAUUAUCUGCUUGCUUUGUUGGGUCG